GCUAAGAAUCUUCCGCAAUGGGGGAAACCCUGACGGAGCGACGCCGCGUGGAUGAUGAAGGCCGUAAGGUUGUAAAAUCCUUUUGCAGGUGAAGAAUAAGGGGGGGAGUGGAAAGCCCCCGCGAUGACGUUAGCCUGCGAAUAAGCCCCGGCCAAUUACGUGCCAGCAGCCGCGGUAAUACGUAUGGGGCAAGCGUUGUUCGGAGUUAUUGGGCGUAAAGGGCGUGUAGGCGGCUUUUCGCGUCUGGUGUGAAAUCUCCGGGCCCAACCCGGAGCACGCGCUGGAAACGGGAAGGCUUGAGUUCUGGGGGGGAAGCUGGAAUUCCUGGUGUAGGAGUGAAAUCUGUAGAUAUCAGGAGGAACACCGGUGGCGAAGGCGGGCUUCUACUCAAGGACUGACGCUGAGGCGCGAAAGCGUGGGGAGCAAACAGGAUUAGAAACCCGGGUAGUCC
This 451-nucleotide ribosomal RNA is filed under the name uncultured bacterium. RNAcentral describes it as "bacterial SSU rRNA". It matches the Rfam family "Bacterial small subunit ribosomal RNA", at positions 354 to 796 of the family's 1533-position model. The record is from RNAcentral.